RNAcentral lists this long non-coding RNA (1813 nucleotides) under Lactuca sativa (garden lettuce). RNAcentral's name for it is "long non-coding RNA (LSAT_LNC006353)". The record is from RNAcentral. Lineage: Eukaryota; Viridiplantae; Streptophyta; Magnoliopsida; Asterales; Asteraceae.
UGGAAACCCUCUCCCCGCUCUCAAGCAACCCUAAUCUAUCAAAUGGAUUUUUUUUUAAAACGGGAGAAUAAGCUACUGCUGGCACCACAUCCUUCGCUAACAUCGCAACCAUUAACACUCGAGCCGCCACAACGUUACCACCAGCGUUUCCAUCACCGCCUCCGAUGAUCAUUUUCUCCUCUCUGCACUGUUGGCACCCCUAUCCAUGUACACUAAUGUCGCCACCAUUAAGAACCGGACAACCACAAACUCAUUACAACUGCAACUAGACCUCACGACCAUCAAAGAACAACAUUAGUAACGCCGAUCAUCCGCUAUCCCCGAUCUAGUUUCUCUGUCUAAAACCCUCAUCAAUGAUCAUUUUGUGUCUUUUUCUCUCUCUGUUCUCGACACCAUCAUUGAUUGCCACCAUUGUCCAAGCCACCGCCGUGCAUGCCUCCACAGGUUCUCUCUACAGGUUUUAUUCAUUCCUUCCAGAUAUUCUCUCGAUUACUGAUUAAAAGAAUUACUUCCAUAUAAAAACUUCUCCCUUCUUGACUAUAUUGAUCAAGGUUAUCACAGUUUUAAUCCGAAAUAAUCAUUAUUGGAAGUUCUAAUCGUGGUGAAGUUAAAGUUUAUUUGAUACCGUCGAAUUUGAAUUUUUUCCUCCCUGCACACCUUGUGUUCGAUAAAAUGCCAAGUAGAAUAUAUUAGUUUGUUUCCAUUGGUGACAAAUGUGUUUACGGCAGAAUUUGGAAAAAAAUGCAAUUUUAAUUCUAAUAUUAUUAAUUUGUUUCCAAUAGUGAAAUUUCUAUGAGUUUUUGGAGAAAGUGGAUGUGAUUUAAAGUACCAGUAGCAUGAAUAGUUGAGUUUAUUUACAAAAUUGAAAAUACCAGCUGUCAACUUCCUGAAAUAUGUUAGAAUCAAUUUAUUGAACUCUAAAAUUUUAGUUCAAAGGUGUCUUAAUAUGUUAUAAUUCAUAUUAAAAUGAAAUAUGAAAAUUUGAUAAGUUUUAAAAUUUACUAAACUUUUUUUUGGCAUACUUGGACAACAAUUGUAACCCCUAUGUUUAUAAUAUUCCAAAGAAAUUUACAAAAAAAAUCAUUAAUAAUUUAUCAAAUUUUACUAUCUUUAUGGUGCUAACAGUUUUUGUUGUUGCUUUUGACUAGGAGCAGGAUCAAGCUCAUUUCAACUUUGGACCCUUGUAUGCAUAUCUAUAAAUCAACUACUUGGAUAUAUUUCUUGUUAUCUAUGAAUUCCCUGUAAGCUUACUAUUUAUUUUAUCAUGGUUUAUAGCUCAAUACUAAGUUAUUUAAUGAACAAAAAGACAAAGCUUGGAUGAUGCAAUUGCAGAUUUGCAGGUCCAACUUGUUUUCAUGAUAAAGAUGUUGACUUUUUUUUGUGGUGUCAUUUUAAAAUGGAUUUUAAUGUUGAGUAUUUGAAUGAAUUUAUAGGUGUGUGAAUCCAGAUUUGUAUUUGAAGAAAAAACCCAUUAAAAAAUGGAGCUUCUUAUGUUGACUGAAUUGAAAUGUAUUAUGCAAAUUGCAAACAAUGACUCCAUUUUCUUCCAUUGAGGAACUUACUUAUGAUCAACCUAUUUCAAUAUAUUUAAUUUUGAGAUCAACCCAACUCAUAUUAUGCUUAACUAAUGCUAAUCAUAAGUUGCAGUUUGUGUAAUAUGUUAUGGCGUGUGUUGUGACAUGAUUAAAUAUUUGAGUUGAUUAAAAAGGGGGCUAAAAUGGUAAUUUAUCAUGUAGGGAUUGACUUGUUAGGAGGAGUGGCAGUUGUGGUUGGAAAAACUCAGAUUUACGCCCUCUUUUAACAUAUACAAAAG